AGACCAAACGGUUGAGGAAAUGGAAUCUUUAUAAAAACGAUCAGUUCAAUCAGUUCCUUGGAUGGGAUGAUAAAGUUUAUACCAGUCAGGCAGUUUUCUGAAGCCUCACAUUCCUUUUCUUUCUUUUCUGUAUUCAUUGUAUUGUUUCCAUGUUUUUUUCAACAUGAGAAGAUUAUUGGUUCUCCUAUCAGUCUUUUUGAUCCUAGUUUCCUGUUGUCCUGAGAGCGACUUCCUGUGUGCGUCUGGCAAAUGUGUCCCAGUUGAUGAUGUCUGUGAUUUCAAGGACGACUGUGACGAUGGUUCCGAUGAGGAGUUCUGUGGGUCGUGUGAUUUUGAGCGCCACUCCUGUGGAUGGAACGACAGCAGUGUGGGAGUGUACCGCUGGAGGCUGGAGAUGGCUAACAUCAGCCUGAUUCCUGGACAGGACCACACCACGGGAUCACCCUGGGGUCAUGUUAUGCAUGUGGAAGGAGACUCAGCAACACACUUUGGCAAGGCCGUGUUGUUGCAUUCCGUUGACAAACCAAUGGCUUUGGGAUGCCAUAUAAGCUUCUGGUACCACCUCUAUGAUGACUUUAGUGUGUCCACUCGGAUGUAUCUGAAGAUGAUCCGAAACACUGGGAGCACAGAAUUACUGAUGAUCUCCAAGCCACAGCAGAAUAGAGGAUGGGAGAAUGCUACGGCCUUCAUCGGUAAUCAACCAGGAGGUUUCAAGUUGGAGUUUUCUGUGGACCCCUCAUUCCUUGGAGCUCAGGACAUCAUGCUGGAUGAUAUCAGCUUUGAGAGCUGUGGGGAAGGGGACAUACCUGCAGGCUCCCAACUCCUCACCUGUGACUUUGAGAAGGACACCUGUGCCUGGUACCCAGACCACACUGUUUCCCUUCUGUGGAAGAGAGCAAGAGGAAUAGACCACACUACUGGCAGUGGUUAUUUCAUGUCCAUUACCCCCGGCAGUAAGCUGGACCCCUCAUCAACAGCCAGACUCAUCAGCUACCCUCAGCCAGCAGGCACAGUGAUCUGUGUUAGCUUCUGGUAUCGCAUGUACGGCAGUGAUGUUGGCUCCGUGAGGUUCCUCACCAAGUCAACCAGAGAGCCAGAGACUGUUGUGUGGAUGAGACAUGGGACUCAGGGGAACAAGUGGCGCUUUACAGACCUUACCUUCACCACUGACACCCCACUACAGUUCAUAUUGGAGGCUGUGGUGGGUGGUAAGCAAGGUAGCAUUGUCAUAGACGACAUGGUAGUGAGCAGCAGCAGCAAUGUGAAUGGCUCCUGUCCGGCGGAGAGAGAGUGCACCUUCCAGGGGUCCCUGUGUGGCCUGCAGGUGGAGAUGUCUGGAGACUUCACUUGGAACAGAACCACCGGGGCCCUGGGAGCCAACACCUCCAGCCCAGCGCUGGAUCACACUCUGGGUACUGAACUGGGAUACUACCUGAGUGCCCAGCUGUGGAACCACCACGUGGGUAGCAGGGGGCGUAUGAUAACGGGAGUGAACGAUGCCACCCCUCGCAGUGGAGAGUGCUGGAUGUUUUGGUACCACAUGGAGGGCAGGGCCUCAGGGGAGCUCAACAUCUAUCUGCAGCCCUUCCCAGGCUCCAGGACCCAGACCCUACUGUGGAGCAGGACUGGAGACCAGGGAGAUCGCUGGAGACACGGCCGAACUACGGUCCUCAGCCCUGAUAUACCUUACCAGGUCAUCUUUGAGGCUGUGGCCGGGGAUGGCCGGGAGGGGGACAUUGCCAUUGAUGACCUCACCCUUGUUAAUGGGCCUUGUCCGCCACAAGGGUUCUGUGACUUUGAGAUUGACUACUGUGGCUGGCUGAACAGUCCCCCAGCUGUGUCAGGAGUGGACUGGGAAUGGUGGUCAGGGUCCAGUGGAGGACGCUUCUCUCCAAAAGUGGACCACACCACCAACUCUGGCCAGGGACACUACAUCAUCUUCACGACAGGUGUAUUUUCCUCUGGACUGGAGAUUACCCAGCUGCAGAGUGAACCUAUGGAGGCGGUAGAGAAUGCAUGUAUAGAGUUCUGGUACUUCAUGGACAUGUGGGGAACCAUGGACCAGAUGGAGCUGACAGUCUAUGUGAAUGAGACAGGUGUUCUACGUUCGAUAUGGAGCAGAUUUGGUCAACUCGACCCAAUCUGGUAUCAGGCCAUGGUGGACUACAACGCUACAGGACCACACCAGAUCAUAUUUUCCACCAGGCGCCCCGGCAGAGAAGAUGGAGGCAUAGCCCUGGAUGACAUCCACGUUAGGAUGAACCUGACCUGUGCAGAGCUGAUCCCAACCACUUCAGCCCCCACCACAGUACCCACCACCCCUCCAGCCACUCCUAUGGACUGCACCUUUGAACAUGGCCUGUGUAACUGUGUCCAGGAGACCGACGACGCCUUCGACUGGGUCCACUCCCAAGGCCUGCAGGUGGACCAGCCAUGGAAUGGACCGCUGUACGACCACACGGUCGGAAAUGACAAAGGGUUUUACCUGAUGGUGAAUAUGUCUGGUAGCGUGGACGGUGAGACCGCAGUCGUCUCUGUUCCUCUUACGUUCCAAACCACGGACCUCUGCGUUGGCUUCUGGUAUUACAUGUUGGGACCAUCUGUGUCCAACCUGGACCUCUUAGUGCAGACGAAAACAUCAAGAACUGUGGUGUGGACUCGCCAAGGCAGCCAGGAUUCAGAGUGGAUGAAUGCACAGGUUCAACUUGGCAUAGCAGACACACAGGAGGUUCAGUUCUCUGGAAGCAGGAAUACCUCUGGCAGUGGGUUUAUAGCCAUCGAUGAUGUCACAGUCAAGGAAGGGGCCUGCAAAGAUCAACAUCCGUGUGGAUUUGAGGUAGACUCCUGGUGUGACUUUGAGGUAGACGUGAGUCACAAGGGGCGCUGGGGCCGUUUGAGAGGCAGCAAGGACCGAUUGGACCACACCUACAGAACUGAGAACGGUUUCUAUCUGACUGUGUUGAAACGGAGCUCCGAGGAGACCGAGGUGGCUCAGUUGCUUUCUUCAGAGCUAAGCUCUACCACAGGGAUGUGUGUUCGCUUCUGGUACUGGCUGCCUGCUGGCUCCACUGACCGUCUGUCAGUGCAUGUCCUGAGGAGCGAGGAGCAGGGCCUGGCUCUGUGGCAGCGUUCUGGAGCUCCCUCUACAGGCUGGGAGGUGGCAGAACUCACUGUGUCCGCCCCUAACACCUUUAAGGUGGUUUUCAGAGCGGAGCACGCGCCGGGCUCUGAUUCGACGGUGCAGAUUGAUGACGUGUCUAUGAGGGAAGGAGCCUGUACUCCCACGGGCAGCUGUGACUUUGAGUCUGGCCAGUGUACCUGGGUCAACGAGGCCCGGACAGGCGGACACGACUGGGUACAGGCAGACGGACGCUUCCAUGGCCCAGACACUGACCACACCAGUCAGACACCAGAGGGGAGGUUUUUGCUGAGCCCGGCCCUGCCACAGAACCAGAGCAGUCGGGCCGUGGUGGUCUCCGAGUGGAUCCAGUCUCAGACUGAAGCCACCUGCCUUACCAUCUGGUACCACAUGAAUGGCAGUGAGUCUGGGUCCCUGCGCGUGUUUGAGCGCUCUGGUCCAACAAAACAAGAGUUACUGUUUGAGACCCAGUCUGGGGGAUCCAACUGGACCCGUUUUUCUGGCUCUGUGGAGAAGUCUGGCCCAUUCCAGGUGCUGAUAGACGCAGAAUCUGGAGACCGUGGAUUUAUUGCUGUUGAUGACAUCAUUGUAACGCCAGGGCUUUGUCCAGACAAUGGGACCAGCGGCGACUUUGUGGGGUGCUCCUUUGAGAACGGCACCUGUGAUUGGGCGGAUGUCAGUGUGGGCCAGUUUACCUGGCAGCGGGGCAGGAAUGGCACUACCACGGAAAACACUGGUCCGUCACUAGACCACACCCUGGGCACUGAGCUGGGCUGGUACAUGGCGGUGGAGUCUAGCCGUGGGGAUGUGGACAGCUUUGCAGCGCUGCAGAGUCCCACCAUGAAGCAGGCCAGUGCUGUGUGCUCGCUGGAGUUCUACUACCACAUGUAUGGAACAGGUGUAGGGGAACUCCGUGUGCUUCUUCAGGAGGGUUCUAGGACCACUCCUCUGUGGUGGCGGUCGGGGGACCAAGGGGACGCGUGGCGUCGGGGGGGAGGUGAUCGUGGGUCGUACCCCCCCAUGUGUUCACCCUGUUCUUCCAGGCGACCAGGACCUUCAGUCAGCUAGGGGACAUCGCCAUCGACGACAUCCUCUUCCUCAACUGUAGUCUGCCUGAGCCCCAGGACUCCUGUCCAGCUGGACUGUUCACCUGCUCUAACCGUGUGUGUGUGGCGCAGAGCCGAGUGUGUGACUACACCGACGACUGUGGGGAUGGGACUGACGAGGUCGACUGUGAAAAGCAGGGUUACGAAGGGCACUGCAGCUUUGAGCAGGGCCUGUGCUCCUGGGAGGAGAGUGAGGUGGACACCCCCGGGGCUGACUGGACCUUCCAGAAGGGAGAGAGCGCCUGGCCUCGACACGGGCCGCCGAGGGACCACACCAAAAACAACGGAGCAGGGCACUAUGUGAUUCCCGGGAGCCACCUUACUGAGAAGGGCCAGACAUCAGAGCUGCUUUCCAGCACUCUGCUACCCAGCUCCAACUGCACCGUGAGGUUCUUCUACUACAGUCAGGAUGAGGAGACGGCCAGUCUGACUAUGAGGCUGA
Molecule: RNA transcript, 4687 nt
Organism: Oncorhynchus gorbuscha (pink salmon)
Lineage: Eukaryota; Metazoa; Chordata; Actinopteri; Salmoniformes; Salmonidae
Gene name: MAM and LDL-receptor class A domain-containing protein 2
Exons: 34
Source: RefSeq, a predicted model, not a curated record